This 671-nucleotide long non-coding RNA is filed under the name Trifolium pratense (red clover). RNAcentral describes it as "long non-coding RNA (TPRA_LNC009720)". The record is from RNAcentral. Lineage: Eukaryota; Viridiplantae; Streptophyta; Magnoliopsida; Fabales; Fabaceae.
UGCAGAAUGCACUCAUCAACGUCGUUAGCCUGCGCGUGUGGUAGAUGCUGAGGGGACGUAUCAUGCUCUUCAGGCAAUGACUUGUUAUUCUCUUGAUUUAUAAUUUACUGCAUGUUUAACCCGCAUGUAUCAGGUACCAAAUAAAGUACUAACUUCCCUCUAAAUAUAUAAUCGUCUCGGUUUUAUUCUUUGUCCUUUCAAGAUCUCGCGCUUUACUCGUUUAGUAUCACGAUAGAUUAACAAACUAGUUAUGAUCAAUUUCUUGGCUCAUAACCUUCUCCUUUAAUUAUAACUCCCUAAUGUGUUAGGUGAGUUAAUAAUUAAAGAAGGUUUUGAAAUACGUUAACAAUCCAAUAUGUCUAUGUUGGGUCAUCACGAGGGGGCAGCCGAGGAUCAUCCACAUUGGGCUUAAGAACAACUCUACAAGUGAGUUGGACACCACACUCUUAUCCAAAACCUUAAGGUGUUAGGUUUAUGGGUCAUCUCACUUAUAAAGUGUUCAACCUCCACUUUUCUAAGCAAUGUGGGACUUAACCACUCACACUUGCCACAACAGUCUAAAGACUAAAGUUAUUGUUAAAUGAACAAUUAGCCUAGAUCAUAAUUGGACUCAUCUAGAGACAUAAUCUUAUGAGAAUUAAGCUACUCAUAAUUGGAACCGAAAUUGCUAU